GAUGAACGCUGGCGGCGUGCCUAAUACAUGCAAGUCGAGCGAACAGACGAGGAGCUUGCUCCUCUGACGUUAGCGGCGGACGGGUGAGUAACACGUGGAUCACCUACUUAUAAGACUGGGAUAACUUCGGGAAACCGGAGCUAAUACCGGAUAAUAUAUUGAACCGCAUGGUUCAAUAGUGCAUGACGGCUUUGCUGUCUCUUAUAGAUGGAUCCGCGCCGGAUUAGCUAGUUGGUAAGGUAACGGCUUACCAAGGCAACGAUGCGUAGCCGACCUGAGAGGGUGAUCGGCCACACUGGAACUGAGACACGGUCCAGACUCCUACGGGAGGCAGCAGUAGGGAAUCUUCCGCAAUGGGCGAAAGCCUGACGGAGCAACACCGCGUGAGUGAUGAAGGUCUUCGGAUCGUAAAACUCUUUUAUUAGGGAAGAACAAAUGUGGAAGUAAAUAUGGACGUCUUGACGGUACCUAAUCAGAAAGCCACGGCUAACUACGUG
This 497-nucleotide ribosomal RNA is filed under the name uncultured bacterium. Its description in RNAcentral is "partial 16S ribosomal RNA". It matches the Rfam family "Bacterial small subunit ribosomal RNA", at positions 28 to 507 of the family's 1533-position model. The record is from RNAcentral.